AGUUAGAGGUUCGAAGGGCGAUUAGAUACCGCCCCUAGUUCUAACCCAUAAACGAUGCCANGCUAGCGAUCUGCCGACGUUUUUUUUGUAGACUCGGCAGGAAGCUUCCGGGAAACCAAAGCAUUUGGGUUCCAGGGGAAGUAUGGUUGCAAAGCUGAAACUUAAAGGAAUUGACGGAAGGGCACCACCAGGAGUGGAGCCUGUGGCUUAAUUUGACUCAACACGGGAAAUCUCACCAGGCCCGGACACUGGAAGGAUUGACAGAUUGAUAGCUCUUUCUUGAUUCGGUGGGUGGUGGUGCAUGGCCGUUCUUAGUUGGUGGAGUGAUUUGUCUGGUUAAUUCCGAUAACGAACGAGACUCUGUCCUGCUAAAUAGUGUCCGCCUCUCUUUUGGGCGGACAAUUCUUCUUAGAGGGACUGGCGACUCUCAGUCGCACGAGAUUGAGCAAUAACAGGUCUGUGAUGCCCUUAGAUGUUCUGGGCCGCACACGCGCUACACUGAAUAGAUCAACGUGUUCCCCCUGUCCGAGAGGACCGGGUAAACCGCUGAACCCUAUUCGUGGUAGGGAUCGGGGCUUGCAAUUGUUCCCCGUAAACCAGGAAUUCCCAGUAGGCGCAAGUCAUAAGCUUGUGUCGAUUACGUCCCUGCCCUUUGUACACACCGCCCGUCGCUACUACCGAUUGAACGUUUUAGUGAGGUCCUCGGACUGUUUGGUAGGCGGAUUGCUCUGCCUGCCUGGCGGGAAGACGACCAA
This 755-nucleotide ribosomal RNA is filed under the name Paraeuchaeta barbata. RNAcentral describes it as "SSU rRNA". It matches the Rfam family "Eukaryotic small subunit ribosomal RNA", at positions 988 to 1762 of the family's 1831-position model. The record is from RNAcentral. Lineage: Eukaryota; Metazoa; Arthropoda; Copepoda; Calanoida; Euchaetidae.